Molecule: long non-coding RNA, 2299 nt
Filed under: Homo sapiens (human)
Lineage: Eukaryota; Metazoa; Chordata; Mammalia; Primates; Hominidae
Description: HSALNT0286498
Source: RNAcentral
ACUUCAUCUCAAAAUAAAAAUAAAGAAGUGACCUCCAGCUAACACAACAGCCUAAGAACUUUCUUCAGUUUGUCUCUCCAGGAAGGAUGAGCACCUCCACACUCAAGGUUUGACUAUGUUGAAGCUACAUCAUUGAUCAUCAAAUCAGAAGAAACAAGGAGUUGUUUUAGUCUUCACUGGAAGCACACCUAUGUGACCUUGAGCAAGUGUAUUCAGCCAUUCUUGGUCUCCCUUUCCCCAUCUGUAAAAUGUGUGGUUUGUUGAUGACUGGUCUGUGGAUCUGUUGCAUCAGAAUCACCUGGAAAGCUGUUGAAAAUGCUAAUUUUCAGGUCCUAGCCCACUCACGAAUAUCUUUGCAGUUGGGCCAGGGUAUCUGUAGUUUCAUACACACACAGACACACAAGUGUGUGCGUGCACGCACAUACAUACAGAGUCACUCCCAAGUGACUUGGAUCCACAGCAGGGUUUGGGACACACUGGAUUAAACAAUCUUCCUGCUUGCCUGAAUUCAGAGGCAAAAAAAUAGCCCUGGGAAGUAUCCUUUAAUAGAAGGCCAGGAAAAAGGAUCAGCCUCUUUGCAGAAGCAGGUUUGGUGCUUCAGGGAGCUACCAAGACUAUCUUCUUAAGAAACAAUCCCCACUUCCCAGGCUUCUCUUUCAUUCUACCUGGGCAUUCAGUGUAUAAUGCAUAUGUAGCCUACAAAGUCAAAGAACUGGCUUUCUGUGCAUUUUAUUUAAAUUAGUUUUAAGGAAAGUGGUUAAAGAGGAGAACUGAGGUAAAUGAAAGUUAAUCCACUUAUUUUACUUGCACUCUGCCUUUUAAGAAACCCUCUUAACUAUAUUCUGAGUGCCAAUAAAUAACAAGGAAAUAUUAGCAAGUUGAUUUUGUCUGUGAUUUCUGCAACUUUCUGUUUUAAUUGACAGAACCUCAAGAGCUGAAAAAAGGAAUCAUAUAAUCAAGACAGAUUAUAGAUCAAAUAAUUUUAUUAAAUGAGAAAACUGAAGAAAAUCAAAAUGCAAACAGGCAAUACCAUUACAUAAAAAUUUGACUCAAUUAAUAAUGAGUCACUCCACAUCACAAUUGUUUGAGGCACCAGUUUUCCUGCAUUUACAGAUAAAGAAACUGAGGUCAAAUGCACAAGAUUUCAUAGAGUAGGUGACAUAGAAAUUCAGUCCAGGUCCAAGGUCUCUAAUGCCACGUUCCAGAGAUGUUUUUAGCAGGCUUAUUUAUGAACCAGAAAUAGUAUAUAAAUGUUUAGGGAAUAUACUACACAUCUACUUGAUGUAUGCAGUCAUUAAAAUGGAUAAGCACCCUUACAUCCUGCAGAUGAGAGAAUAAAUUGGUACCAUUGAGCCAGGUGCAGUGGCUCUUGCCCAUAGUCUGAACUACUCGGGAGGCUGAAGUGGGAGGAUUGCUUGAGCCCAGGAGUAUGAGGCUGCAGUGAGCUGUGAUUGCACUACUGCAUUCCAGCCUGGGCAACAAAGCGAGACCCGCCUCUUAAAAAAACAAAAAUAAAAAUAAAAAAUAACUGAUACAAUCAUUCCAGAAAGCAAUUUAGCAAUCUCCAUAAAGUGUCUUUUCAAAGUUCAUACUCUUUGCCCCAGUAAUUCACUCUCUGGGAACUUAUCCUAAGGUAAUAAUCAGAAAUUUGGCAAGAGGCUUAUUUGCAAAACUGUGCAUUAAAACAGUACUUUAAAAAAUGAAAAACCUAGAAGGAAACUAAAGGUUCCAAAUUAAUGAGUUAGAUAAGUGAUAGCUCUUUAUAUGUUAUAAUAUCACAUAAAUACAAAAAAAUGGUGUUCUAAUAGUGUAGGAAACUAUUUAUAAUAUUUUAAGGAAAAGGACAUGAUCAAAAUAUUGUAUGUAUACUAUGAUCCCAAUUUUGUUGAAAGAAAAAUGUGUGCAUGUGUAAAGAAAACAGGACUGAAAAGAAAUACAUUAGCAUAUUUAAAGUGUCUUAAAAUGUAAAAGAGUGUUAAGGUGGUUCUCUCUCUAUGGUGAAAUUAGAGUUCAUUCUUUAGUCUCUUCUUUGAGCCUUUCAGAAUUUUGAAUUCUCGUUAGUAAGAAACAAACCACUUUUAUGAUCAGAAGGAACACAAUGUAAUUUUUGAGAGAAAUGAAAACUGCAGAUUAUAAAAAAGUAAUAACAGAAAAAUCCUAUGAUAUGUUUAGUAAAAAAAUAAAAAUUGCAUACACAGUAGAGUUUAUGAAGAUAUGCACAUAAAUAAUUAUAACUCUGCAGAGGAAGGAUUAGAUGAAAGCACAACAAAAUAUUAAAGAUGUUUGGGUUUAAAUGGCA